CACGUAGGGCGCGAGCGUUGUCCGGAAUUAUUGGGCGUAAAGAGCUCGUAGGCGGUUUGUCGCGUCUGCUGUGAAAACUGGGGGCUCAACCCCCAGCCUGCAGUGGGUACGGGCAGACUAGAGUGCGGUAGGGGAGAUUGGAAUUCCUGGUGUAGCGGUGGAAUGCGCAGAUAUCAGGAGGAACACCGGUGGCGAAGGCGGGUCUCUGGGCCGAUACUGACGCUGAGGAGCGAAAGCGUGGGGAGCGAACAGG
RNAcentral lists this ribosomal RNA (253 nucleotides) under uncultured bacterium. Its description in RNAcentral is "partial 16S ribosomal RNA". It matches the Rfam family "Bacterial small subunit ribosomal RNA", at positions 524 to 776 of the family's 1533-position model. The record is from RNAcentral.